RNAcentral lists this transfer-messenger RNA (369 nucleotides) under Opitutales bacterium. It matches the Rfam family "transfer-messenger RNA". Rfam says of the family: Bacterial tmRNA, also known as 10Sa RNA or SsrA, is named for its dual tRNA and mRNA-like properties. Its role is to liberate the mRNA from a stalled ribosome. To accomplish this part of the tmRNA is used as a reading frame that ends in a translation stop signal. The record is from RNAcentral. RNAcentral also lists the same sequence under 4 other names. Lineage: Bacteria; Pseudomonadati; Verrucomicrobiota; Opitutia; Opitutales.
GGGGGUGUUCCGGAUUCGAUUCCCGCCAAGAUAUCGCGACGGCAUGCAGAGGGUAGUUCGUAACCUCUUAAAUCCAACGGGCAGCACUAUAACUGCUAAAAACACCAUCACGUUCGAGAACGACAACGUUCUCGCGCUCGCUGCCUAAGUACAGCGACGAGCCCCAGGGCGCGCCUGCAGUCCUGGAUCAGCUCGGUUAACGUGGGCGAUCCCCUCCUUUAGCUGUUAUCUCCGGGGUAAGUGAGAAUACAGAUAGGUCGCACGGGUGCUCAUCCCCAAACGCGAUCGAGAUCAAUGAUGAAGCUACGCAUGUAGAAGUUACGACGUAAGGGUAGGAAGACGUGGGUUCGACUCCCACCACCUCCACCA